This 129-nucleotide ribosomal RNA is filed under the name uncultured bacterium. RNAcentral's name for it is "partial 16S ribosomal RNA". The record is from RNAcentral.
GUGAUGAAAUGGUUUUGGGUCGUAAAAGUCUGGUGGUAGGGAAGAAAGGGUGGUGGUUGAAUCUGCUGGUUAUUUGACGGUACUUAACCAGAAAGCCACGGCUAACUACGUGCCAGCAGCCGCGGUAAU